CCCUUAGAUGUUCUGGGCCGCACGCGCGCCACACUGAAUGGAUCAACGUGUUUUCCCUUCCCGAGAGGGACGGGUAACCCGCUGAACCCCAUUCGUGGUAGGGAUCGGAGCUCGCAAUUGUUCUCCGUGAACGAGGAAUUCCUAGUAAACGCAAGUCAUCAGCUUGCAUUGAUUACGUCCCUGCCCUUUGUACACACCGCCCGUCGCACCUACCGAUUGAAUGGUCCGGUGAAAUCUCCGGACUGGCGUGAGUCGGAGCAAUCUGACAAACACCGGAAAGUUGAUUAAACCUUACCAUUUAGAGGAAGGUGAAGUCGUAACA
This 322-nucleotide ribosomal RNA is filed under the name uncultured eukaryote. RNAcentral describes it as "partial 18S ribosomal RNA". It matches the Rfam family "Eukaryotic small subunit ribosomal RNA", at positions 1470 to 1796 of the family's 1831-position model. The record is from RNAcentral.